Mycetomoellerius zeteki is the source of this 215-nucleotide long non-coding RNA. RefSeq lists it as uncharacterized. The record is from RefSeq and is a predicted model, not a curated record. NCBI's taxonomy places the organism in Eukaryota, Metazoa, Arthropoda, Insecta, Hymenoptera, Formicidae. The transcript is spliced from 3 exons.
GUUUAUCGAGAGUUGCCAGUUGAAUUUUAUCUGCUGAACUGAGAAAAUGUUUAGUUCUUCUUGGUGUUGCACUGAACUCAGCAGUCCAGUGAAACAUGUACCAAAUGAAUAACCAUGCAUUUCUGUCAAUCUUCAAAUUUACCAAUUUGACGACCAGGAUGCAAUAGGACUUGACUAUAAUGUUAUAUUUGAGAUAGGGACAAUUAAUGAGGGUG